AUUGAACGCUGGCGGCAUGCCUUACACAUGCAAGUCGAACGGUAACAGGUUAAGCUGACGAGUGGCGACCGGGUGAGUAAUGUAUCGGAACGUGCCCAGUCGUGGGGGAUAACUGCUCGAAAGAGCAGCUAAUACCGCAUACGACCUGAGGGUGAAAGCGGGGGAUCGCAAGAACUCGCGCGAUUGGAGCGGCCGAUAUCAGAUUAGGUAGUUGGUGAGGUAAAGGCUCACCAAGCCGACGAUCUGUAGCUGGUCUGAGAGGACGACCAGCCACACUGGGACUGAGACACGGCCCAGACUCCUACGGGAGGCAGCAGUGGGGAAUUUUGGACAAUGGGCGCAAGCCUGAUCCAGCCAUGCCGCGUGCGGGAAGAAGGCCUUCGGGUUGUAAACCGCUUUUGUCAGGGAAGAAAAGGUUCUGGCUAAUACCUGGGACUCAUGACGGUACCUGAAGAAUAAGCACCGGCUAACUACGUG
Molecule: ribosomal RNA, 477 nt
Filed under: uncultured bacterium
Lineage: Bacteria
Description: partial 16S ribosomal RNA
Rfam family: Bacterial small subunit ribosomal RNA
Source: RNAcentral